Sebastes umbrosus (honeycomb rockfish) is the source of this 163-nucleotide long non-coding RNA. RefSeq lists it as uncharacterized. Lineage: Eukaryota; Metazoa; Chordata; Actinopteri; Perciformes; Sebastidae. The transcript has 3 exons. The record is from RefSeq and is a predicted model, not a curated record.
AGGGCCAAAAUCUUCUAUCCUGAUAUAGGACAUUUAAUAUGUCAAUAACGAUAUAUAUCACAAUAUAGCAUGUUUUCUGGUUAUUCAAUAAAUAAAUAGUCUAUAUGAAAUAACCACGUGGUAAAGCCUGUUUUUGUAUACUACUGUAUAUUGAACACAAAAU